UACGUAGGGUGCAAGCGUUGUCCGGAAUUAUUGGGCGUAAAGAGCUCGUAGGCGGUUUGUCGCGUCGGCUGUGAAAACUCGGGGCUCAACCCCGAGCCUGCAGUCGAUACGGGCAAACUAGAGUGUGGUAGGGGAGACUGGAAUUCCUGGUGUAGCGGUGAAAUGCGCAGAUAUCAGGAGGAACACCGGUGGCGAAGGCGGGUCUCUGGGCAGUAACUGACGCUGAGGAGCGAAAGCGUGGGGAGCGAACAGG
This 253-nucleotide ribosomal RNA is filed under the name uncultured bacterium. RNAcentral describes it as "partial 16S ribosomal RNA". It matches the Rfam family "Bacterial small subunit ribosomal RNA", at positions 524 to 776 of the family's 1533-position model. The record is from RNAcentral.